AAAUGCGAUAAGUAAUGUGAAUUGCAGAAUUCAGUGAAUCAUCGAAUCUUUGAACGCACAUUGCGCCCGCCAGUAUUCUGGCGGGCAUGCCUGUCCGAGCGUCAUUUCAACCAUCAAGCCCCCGGGCUUGUGUUGGGGACCUGCGGCUGCCCGCAGGCCCUGAAAACCAGUGGCGGGCUCGCUGUCACACCGAGCGUAGUAGCAAUCACCUCGCUCAGGGCGUGCUGCGGGUUCCGGCCGUUAAACAGCCUUACAAAAACCAAGGUUGACCUCGGAUCAGGUAGGAAGACCCGCUGAACUUAAGC
Molecule: unclassified non-coding RNA, 305 nt
Filed under: plant metagenome
Description: partial contains 5.8S ribosomal RNA, internal transcribed spacer 2, and large subunit ribosomal RNA
Rfam family: 5.8S ribosomal RNA (bases 1-104)
Source: RNAcentral